This 31-nucleotide non-coding RNA is filed under the name Mus musculus (house mouse). The record is from RNAcentral. Lineage: Eukaryota; Metazoa; Chordata; Mammalia; Rodentia; Muridae.
UAAGGAUAGGUUUUCUACAUUGCUCAUGACA